Molecule: ribosomal RNA, 1171 nt
Filed under: Pediococcus acidilactici
Lineage: Bacteria; Bacillati; Bacillota; Bacilli; Lactobacillales; Lactobacillaceae
Description: bacterial SSU rRNA
Rfam family: Bacterial small subunit ribosomal RNA
Source: RNAcentral
AGCAGGGGAUAACACCUGGAAACAGAUGCUAAUACCGUAUAACAGAGAAAACCGCCUGGUUUUCUUUUAAAAGAUGGCUCUGCUAUCACUUCUGGAUGGACCCGCGGCGCAUUAGCUAGUUGGUGAGGUAACGGCUCACCAAGGCGAUGAUGCGUAGCCGACCUGAGAGGGUAAUCGGCCACAUUGGGACUGAGACACGGCCCAGACUCCUACGGGAGGCAGCAGUAGGGAAUCUUCCACAAUGGACGCAAGUCUGAUGGAGCAACGCCGCGUGAGUGAAGAAGGGUUUCGGCUCGUAAAGCUCUGUUGUUAAAGAAGAACGUGGGUGAGAGUAACUGUUCACCCAGUGACGGUAUUUAACCAGAAAGCCACGGCUAACUACGUGCCAGCAGCCGCGGUAAUACGUAGGUGGCAAGCGUUAUCCGGAUUUAUUGGGCGUAAAGCGAGCGCAGGCGGUCUUUUAAGUCUAAUGUGAAAGCCUUCGGCUCAACCGAAGAAGUGCAUUGGAAACUGGGAGACUUGAGUGCAGAAGAGGACAGUGGAACUCCAUGUGUAGCGGUGAAAUGCGUAGAUAUAUGGAAGAACACCAGUGGCGAAGGCGGCUGUCUGGUCUGUAACUGACGCUGAGGCUCGAAAGCAUGGGUAGCGAACAGGAUUAGAUACCCUGGUAGUCCAUGCCGUAAACGAUGAUUACUAAGUGUUGGAGGGUUUCCGCCCUUCAGUGCUGCAGCUAACGCAUUAAGUAAUCCGCCUGGGGAGUACGACCGCAAGGUUGAAACUCAAAAGAAUUGACGGGGGCCCGCACAAGCGGUGGAGCAUGUGGUUUAAUUCGAAGCUACGCGAAGAACCUUACCAGGUCUUGACAUCUUCUGCCAACCUAAGAGAUUAGGCGUUCCCUUCGGGGACAGAAUGACAGGUGGUGCAUGGUUGUCGUCAGCUCGUGUCGUGAGAUGUUGGGUUAAGUCCCGCAACGAGCGCAACCCUUAUUACUAGUUGCCAGCAUUCAGUUGGGCACUCUAGUGAGACUGCCGGUGACAAACCGGAGGAAGGUGGGGACGACGUCAAAUCAUCAUGCCCCUUAUGACCUGGGCUACACACGUGCUACAAUGGAUGGUACAACGAGUCGCGAAACCGCGAGGUUUAGCUAAUCUCUUAAAACCAUUCCCAGUUC